AACGAACGCUGGCGGCGUGGAUAAGACAUGCAAGUCGAACGGGACUAAAUCUGUAGCAAUACAGGUUUAGUUUAGUGGCGAACGGGUGCGUAACACGUGGGCAAUCUGCCGAGAAGUGGGGGAUAGCUCGCCGAAAGGCGAAUUAAUACCGCAUAUGAUCAGCUAAGACAUCUUAGCGACAUCAAAGCCGGGGCAACCUGGCGCUUCUUGAUGAGCCCGCGGCCUAUCAGCUAGUUGGUGAGGUAACGGCUCACCAAGGCUAUGACGGGUAGCUGGUCUGAGAGGACGACCAGUCACACUGGAACUGAGACACGGUCCAGACACCUACGGGUGGCAGCAGUCGAGAAUUUUUCUCAAUGGGGAAACCCUGAAGGAGCGACGCCGCGUGGAGGAUGAAGGCUUUC
RNAcentral lists this ribosomal RNA (404 nucleotides) under uncultured bacterium. RNAcentral describes it as "bacterial SSU rRNA". It matches the Rfam family "Bacterial small subunit ribosomal RNA", at positions 29 to 419 of the family's 1533-position model. The record is from RNAcentral.